RNAcentral lists this long non-coding RNA (295 nucleotides) under Brachypodium distachyon (stiff brome). Its description in RNAcentral is "long non-coding RNA (BDIS_LNC001844)". Lineage: Eukaryota; Viridiplantae; Streptophyta; Magnoliopsida; Poales; Poaceae. The record is from RNAcentral.
UUACAUAUGAAUAUACGAUCGGUUUCCAUUAUCAAGAUAAAGGAAAAUACCAUUUUGUAUUGCUAAUUAUAUAUUUUUGGGAAACGAUUCUUUCCGGCUAAUUUUUUUUAAAUAAUAUGAUUUUUUUAAUCAUUUUCAAAAAUAAUACGCGUUUUUAAAUUUUUUUUAAAAUAAUACGGCCUCGGCCUGGGCGAGGCCGAUUGGGCCCAGUCGGCCCGGCCCAAGUCGAUUAGGCCCAGUCAGCCUCGGCCAGGCCGCCUGUCUAGCCCGCGGGGCCCCCACGCGCCAGUCAGCC